Molecule: long non-coding RNA, 383 nt
Organism: Rhinichthys klamathensis goyatoka
Lineage: Eukaryota; Metazoa; Chordata; Actinopteri; Cypriniformes; Leuciscidae
Exons: 2
Source: RefSeq, a predicted model, not a curated record
GAUAACUAUAUUAGUGUUCACACCAGCGGACGAUAACUAUAACGAUAACUAUAUUAGUGUUCACACCAGCGGACGAUAACUAUAACGAUAACUAUAUUAGUGUUCACACCAACGGACGAUAACUAUAACGAUAACUAUAUUAGUGUUCACACCAGCGGACGAUAACUAUAACGAUAACUAUAUCAGUGUUCACACCAGCGGACGAUAACUAUAACGAUAACUAUAUUAGUGUUCACACCAGCGGACGAUAACUAUAACGAUAACUAUAUUAGUCUCCACACCAGCGGACGAUAACUAUAACGAUAACUAUAUUAGUGUUCACACCAGCGGACGAUAACUAUAACGAUAACUAUAUUAGUGUCCACACCAGCGGACGAUAACUA